UACGUAGGGUGCAAGCGUUGUCCGGAAUUAUUGGGCGUAAAGAGCUCGUAGGCGGUUUGUCGCGUCUGCUGUGAAAUCUUAGGGCUUAACCCUGAGCUUGCAGUGGGUACGGGCAGACUAGAGUGCGGUAGGGGAGACUGGAAUUCCUGGUGUAGCGGUGAAAUGCGCAGAUAUCAGGAGGAACACCGGUGGCGAAGGCGGCAUACUGGACCACCACUGACGCUGAUGCGCGAAAGCCAGGGGAGCAAACGGG
This 253-nucleotide ribosomal RNA is filed under the name uncultured bacterium. Its description in RNAcentral is "partial 16S ribosomal RNA". It matches the Rfam family "Bacterial small subunit ribosomal RNA", at positions 524 to 776 of the family's 1533-position model. The record is from RNAcentral.